This is a long non-coding RNA of Ooceraea biroi (clonal raider ant), 2007 nucleotides long. RefSeq lists it as uncharacterized. The record is from RefSeq and is a predicted model, not a curated record. Lineage: Eukaryota; Metazoa; Arthropoda; Insecta; Hymenoptera; Formicidae.
AUCUUAAACACGGCAACUUGAUCAGCUUUGUCCGGCAAAAUAACGAGCCUGCAUUAAUUUACUUUCAGGAACAAUGUUCAUCCGAGGAUCUGACCACGCGCGAGCGCGGCAGCUGGACGUUUGUGCAGCUUUAGCAAGCAGAAAAACUCCAUUGCGGUUGGACGUCUGGAGGAGCACACUUGCCGUAUGAACAGAAACGGAAUUCCCACUCAGCCUCUAAUGAGGUCGAAGUCUGUGUUGGAUUGAGCGAGCACACGAGAAACAUCAGCGAACCGUUCUUUCACAUUUCAUCCACUCGCACAAACAUGGAACAAAAUAAAUACAAGGUGUUUGCAAAAGGACGUAAGGACACAAAUAGAUAGCAACUGAGUAAUUCCUUCCCCUUAAAUUACUGUUUAGAUUUGAAGUGUUGGCAGUACUCGAUCAUACCCGGUCGAUGGUUGACAAUUUUGAAUUAAGUGUCAUGAUUGAAGAUGGCCUCGUCCAAUAUCUAUAUCGAUAGAGUUGAGCUUCGCCAACGCAUUUUGUAUUACUAUGCACAAAGCAAGAGUCCUGUAGAAACUACAAGACGAAUUUGGGGGGAGUAUGGAAGGAAUGUUCUGCCUUUUAGUGUCUGUAAAAUAUGGUUUAACAAGUUUGAGUCGCAUAAAUAUAAUCUCAAAUCAAGUGAUGCAACUAGAAGCGAACUGAAAGCAUUGUACAAGAAGAACCCGUCCCAAACACAAUAGAAGAUCGCAGACAGGCUUGGAAUUUCUCAACCAACAGUAUGGCAGCAUUUGAAAGUACUAAAAGAGAACCGGCAGAUAGAAAGACAAGUUACAACUAGAAGCAAAGUGGAAGCAUUGUACAAGGAGAACCCGUCCCAAACACAACAGGAGAUCGCAGAAAGGCUUGGAAUUUGUCCACGAGCAAUAUUGUAUCAUAUGAAAGCACUAACAGAGAAUGGGCAGAUAGAAAGACAAGUUACAACUAGAAGCAAAGUGGAAGCAUUGUAUAAAAAGAACCCGUCCCAAACACAACAGAAGAUUGCAGAGCGGCUUGGAAUUACUCAACAAACAGUAUGGUAUCAUUUGAAAGGAAUAAAAGAGAACCAGGAGUAAGAAAGACAAGUUGAUAAACAGUGAAUAUGGAUGUAACGAUAUCGGACUCGGAUACAGACUAUAAUGAAGACAAUAAUACUCUCGUUGCGGCACGCACGUGACAAAGUGCUCACAUCAUAAGUAUACAGUGAGCGACUACUGCUUCCUUUUUACUCGGAGAUUUGCGGCACUUGUCAGCAACGCUUGAAUAAAGUAACAAACUGUUAGCGUAAUAUAAUUUUUGUAACAUUCGGAAAAGUUAGGAGAAUGUACAUGUCUUUGCUAUUUAUUAUUAGGAAAGUUUAAUUAAUGGCAUAUAUUUUCUGACAACCUUAACUAUCGGUUUCUCAUCAAGAUGUAGUUCUUCGCGAAUGAACGUUUAAUCAUUAACGUGCUUUUAACAACAAAAGUAAAUAGUAUCAGAAAGGAUAGCUUUAAUCACUCGUUUAAGAUGUAUUGUAACAAUGGAAUAAUGUUAAACCUAAUCUAAGUAUGCAACUCGCGACUAUACCUAUUUAUUACUCUUUCUUGAUACGAUCGUGAUCCGUUGACUGUAGAUAUUGAGACAAAGAUACUUGUCACUAGUCUUUCAGUCAAGCUCGUGAAGAAUCAUGGAAUGUAUAUCGAUUUAUAUCGUAUUGGCAAACGUGGUCAUGCAGUGACAGCAUUCCUUGCAGAAGGAAUCCUUUCAUCCGAGGAUGAAUAGAUUUCCGCCAGUUAAGAUAUAUAUUUCGGAAUAAUUAUUCUAUGUUUUUUGCUGUUGAAAGUUCGGGUUUAUCAAAUGGAUUAAAUGAAUACAAAUGUUCGGGACUAAAAUUGUAAGUAGGUGACGUGAUUAUAUUUGUAAUGUAAUGUUUGUCUCUUCUCUGACUUUGCUUGAUUCAGAUCAAUUUUAAUUUUUUAUUAAAAUGUUUAUUGUACAAUAUUA